This 497-nucleotide ribosomal RNA is filed under the name uncultured bacterium. Its description in RNAcentral is "partial 16S ribosomal RNA". It matches the Rfam family "Bacterial small subunit ribosomal RNA", at positions 28 to 507 of the family's 1533-position model. The record is from RNAcentral.
GAUGAACGCUGGCGGCGUGCCUAAUACAUGCAAGUCGAGCGAACAGACGAGGAGCUUGCUCCUCUGACGUUAGCGGCGGACGGGUGAGUAACACGUGGAUAACCUACCUAUAAGACUGGGAUAACUUCGGGAAACCGGAGCUAAUACCGGAUAACAUGUUGACCCGAAUGGUUCAACAGUGAAAGACGGUUUUGCUGUACCUUAUAGAUGGAUCCGCGUCGCAUUAGCUAGUUGGUAAGGUAACGGCUUACCAAGGCAACGAUGCGUAGCCGACCUGAGAGGGUGAUCGGCCACACUGGAACUGAGACACGGUCCAGACUCCUACGGGAGGCAGCAGUAGGGAAUCUUCCGCAAUGGGCGAAAGCCUGACGGAGCAACGCCGCGUGAGUGAAGAAGGUCUUCGGAUCGUAAAACUCUGUUAUUAGGGAAGAACAAAUGUGUAAGUAACUAUGCACGUCUUGACGGUACCUAAUCAGAAAGCCACGGCUAACUACGUG